UCCUGAGGGGAUGAUGAAAGACGGAGCAAUCUGUCACUUGCGGAUGGGCCUGCGGCGCAUUAGCUAGUUGGUGAGGUAACGGCUCACCAAGGCGACGAUGCGUAGCCGACCUGAGAGGGUGAACGGCCACACUGGGACUGAGACACGGCCCAGACUCCUACGGGAGGCAGCAGUAGGGAAUCUUCCGCAAUGGGCGAAAGCCUGACGGAGCAACGCCGCGUGAGUGAUGAAGGUUUUCGGAUCGUAAAGCUCUGUUGCCAGGGAAGAACGUCCGGUAGAGUAACUGCUAUCGGAGUGACGGUACCUGAGAAGAAAGCCCCGGCUAACUACGUGCCAGCAGCCGCGGUAAUACGUAGGGGGCAAGCGUUGUCCGGAAUUAUUGGGCGUAAAGCGCGCGCAGGCGGUCAUUUAAGUCUGGUGUUUAAGGCCAAGGCUCAACCUUGGUUCGCACUGGAAACUGGGUGACUUGAGUGCAGAAGAGGAGAGUGGAAUUCCACGUGUAGCGGUGAAAUGCGUAGAUAUGUGGAGGAACACCAGUGGCGAAGGCGACUCUCUGGGCUGUAACUGACGCUGAGGCGCGAAAGCGUG
This 588-nucleotide ribosomal RNA is filed under the name Paraburkholderia acidipaludis. RNAcentral's name for it is "bacterial SSU rRNA". It matches the Rfam family "Bacterial small subunit ribosomal RNA", at positions 187 to 763 of the family's 1533-position model. Lineage: Bacteria; Pseudomonadati; Pseudomonadota; Betaproteobacteria; Burkholderiales; Burkholderiaceae. The record is from RNAcentral.